GUCUCUAUAGCGCAGUGGAUAGCGCGUUGGAUUUCUAAUCCAAAAGUACCGGGUUCGUACCCCGGCAGGGAUG
This 73-nucleotide transfer RNA is filed under the name Limulus polyphemus (Atlantic horseshoe crab). RNAcentral's name for it is "tRNA-Arg". It matches the Rfam family "tRNA". Rfam says of the family: Transfer RNA (tRNA) molecules are approximately 80 nucleotides in length. Their secondary structure includes four short double-helical elements and three loops (D, anti-codon, and T loops). Lineage: Eukaryota; Metazoa; Arthropoda; Merostomata; Xiphosura; Limulidae. The record is from RNAcentral.